GGAGGAACCAGAGGCACAUUUGCAGACCUGAAGGGAAGCAUUGUGGCUGGAGUAUCCCGAGGAGCUGGAGAGGGAACGCAGAAAAGCCUGUAUGGGAGCAGCGGUGACUGCGGGACCACUGGCUAGGAGGCUACUGCGACAGUGCAGGAGAGAGCUGCUGAGGGCUUAGACCCAGGCUGUGAGAAGUGGGCUGAUUCUGGAUUCAUCUAGAAGACAGAGAACAAAGGAUUUCCUAAUGGAAUGGAAUGGAUGGUGAGAUGUACAUCUGAAGUAAAGACUCCUUUGGGAUUUGGGGCUUGACAAACUUGAAAAAAACAAACACCCCAGCACCCCUUCUGGACAGACACUGCCAUGCAGAAGGUCAACUUGGAAGUGAAUGGUUCCUUUGAACCCCUUAGAAACAGGAACCUCACUCAACAGGAUGCAUCCCUGAGCCAGGGCUUCUGGCUUAGCAAGAAGAGGUCCGGUGUUCCCGUCAGAUUGGAAGUUACUGUGCAGGCACUCCUGUGCCCCUGCACAAUCUGGCUGGAGUAGAUGACGAAAACUCAAAGUCUCUGGGCAUUUUGCGGAAAAAGGAAGAAGCAACCUUCCAGAAGCAGCGACUAAGAAUAAGAACACUAACUCCCUUCCCCCAACUCAACUGUAUGUGAGUGUGAAAGGAAAGGAAUCAUUUUCUGUGGAAUCAGUAUCCUCAGGGAGUAUCCACGCUCUAGUAGAAGAAGGUAAAGAUACUUUCACAGACCCAUCGUGAUGAGCAUAUAGGGAUUUUACCCGUGAAAAGUAAUGUGUCUCAUAGGCACAAUGGAGGGGUCUGAGGAUGAGACUGAAUCUUGGGCUUCUUGUGAAGAUUAAAAUAAUUUUGGAUGAAGAGAAUAAUAGGAUUAAUCCUGAUUGCAUCUUGAGAUGAGAUGAAUAAUCAAUUCUAAUUAUUACCUCCUUUCAUCAAGAAUUCUGGGACUUCCUUGGUGGUGCAGUGGUUAAGAAUCCGCCUGCCAAUGCAGGGGACACGGGUUUGAGCCCUGGUCUGGGAAGAUCCCACAUGCCACGGAGCAACUAAGCCUAUGCGCCACAAAUACUGAGCCUGCGCUCUAGAACCUGUGAGCCACAACUACUGAGCCCACGUGCUGCAACUACUGAAGCCCGCGUGCCGAGAGCCUGUGCUCUGCAACAAGAGAAGCUACCGCAAAGAGAAGCCCGCGCACCGCAACGAAGAGUAGCCCCCGCUCAUUGCAACUAGAGAAAGCCUGCAUGCAGCAACAAAGACCCAAUGCAGCCAAAAAUAAAUAAAUAAAUUUAAAAGAAAAAGAAUUCUGUGGCAUUCUUGAUGAAGUGGAAAUGCCGGUGGAGUGAAAAUGUGAUUGACCCAAAUGGGCUACCUUUGCCCACUUUUGCCUGAUUUGGCUGAGUUUAGUGUGGAAGCUACAAGAGGGACUUACACAGAGAAUUAAGGGUACACCAGAAUAUGAAUCACUACUACCCUUAAAAAAAAGCUCAUUUAUUCUGAAUAAAUUGAUAUAGAAUUUGUCUUAUUUUGAUCUGAGCUGAACGAGAGCUUACUAUUUUAUGCUAUUUGAAGAUAAGGUUUCCUCAGCAAAUUAUUAAUACAAACGAUAUUGCAGAUGUUUAACUUACUUAGAAGUACUCUUUCCAUGACAUUUACACAUAAAUGUGUUAAACUGAUACUGUUAAUUACAAAUGAGUCAUUUAAUGUGUUAUAAAUAUAUAUAUGAGUGCAUUUUCACACAGUAAAACCCUACUUACGAUAAAUACUCCCCCAAAGUAUGCCUCUGUAAAUAUAAAAAUGCAUGCUUAUUCUCGCUGGAAGUGUUUUCAAUUUUGUCUCAACAACAGAAAUCUUAAUUUUCUGCCCAGUUUUACAAUCGAAGAUAGCUAGUAGCAUCUAGUCCUGCUUCCUUUCUUACUUAAUUCUAAUGAACCCCUAAAUCUUUAAUUUAGUAAUGGCCUAUUAACCUAUAAGUUACCUCCAGACCUCUUCAAAGAAGUACACAGCUUGGAGUAGUAUCAAAAAACCCUACAAUGGAAAUUAGCCCUGAUUCUGCUAUUAACUAACUAUCAAACCUCCACGAAAUCACUUUACUUCAUAAAACAUCAGUUACUUACAGAGAUUGAACCAGACGAACUUUUGAAGUUCCUGUCAACUCUGAAGUCCAUGACCAUUAUUAAGUCUUAAAUUAACAAUGACCCAACUUUUCAAAUGUGGUGUGUAGAGAAAGACUCCCUAAAUUUAAUAACUGAAAUUCAUAAGCAUCUAUUUAUUUAUUUAACGUCAUGUCAAUAAUGCUUACUAAAAAGUGGAUGAUACAGAAAGACCAUACCAUAUUCUAUAUCAAACAGAACUUUUAAAAUAACAUUUUUCUAGAGAUUGUCAUACUAAGUGAAGUAAGUUAGAGAAAGACAAAUAUCAUAGGGUAUCAUUUAUAUGUGGAAUCUAAAAUAAUGAGACAAAUGAACUUAUUUACAAAACAGAAAUAGACUCAUAGACAUAGAAAACAAACUUAAGGCUACCAAAAUGGAAAGGGGGGGAGGAAUAAACUAGGAAUUUGGGAUUAACAGAUACAAACUACCAUGUAUAAAACAGAUAAACAACAAGGACCUACUGUAUACCACAGGGAACUAUAUUCCACAUCUUGUAAUAACCUAUAAUGGAAAAGAAUCUGAAAAAUUAUAUAUAACUGAAUCACUUUGCUGUAUACCUAAAAAACUGUAAAUCAACUAUAUUUCCAUAAAAAAAAUCUUUCUAAUUGAAAAAUAAAGGCAUAUUGGCUAUUGAAAAGUUGCAAAAUAAAACUAAAGACAACAAAAAUUUCACUACCAAUCCCCAUAAUCAUUAUUUUUUAUAUGCAUGCUUCUUGUCUCCUUUCUAUGAGUACAUAUUAAUAAACUAUUAUGCAAAUGAACAUACAGAUUUAUAAAUUAUUUUAUUUCCCUCAUAAUAGUGUCAUUAAAAGUAUGUAUUUCUAAAAGAUAAUUUUAACCUUUACCUCUAGUCAUGAUGGAGCAACUGUUACCAGAUUUGCCUGAUAGGAAAUGAUUGGAAAACUGGACUAAUUCUAAAAAAUUAAUAAACAGAAACCUCAAUUAAAUAGAGUUGGGAGACCAGAGGGGAAGCUCUCACACUCUGUGACAAGAGCAGAGCCUAACAGGAAGAAGAAAGACUCCUUACUUGCAAAAACUCAGCCAAUGAAAAUCCAUGGACUACUUGUUUACUGUAGCCCUCCCGACUUUCUUCUUCUCUCUACAAAAUCAAUCUCCUUAACCUUGUCAUGUGGGGGCUUGCAGGUGGCUCACCAUGUUUGCAGAUCCCAAAUUGCAAUUCUCUGCUGAUCUCGAAUAAAGCCAUCUUUGCUGGAAAAAUAUCUGACAGUCUAAUUGUUUCAGGUCAACAAUAUGAAACAAUCGUUUACAGGCAUUGAACAACAAGCAGCCCAAGUGUGUGAUUACUAAGAUGGGAGGAAAAACAAGCCCUAAUAUUACCCUGGCUUUCUGGCUGGAGGCACUUUCCAGUGCAAUGCAAGGAAGCAUGAUCUAAGCAGAGCACGUUGCAUAUAGCAGAGUAAUGAGCGUGUGGGGAGGCCAACAUGGCUGGCAUUUAAAAGGCAGAGCACCAGAAAGGAAAGCAGUACAUAAAAAGGAAAUUCCAAAAUCACAUGGAGGAAACUCUUGAGUCUGUGGCCAAAUACUAAAUAGAGGUUUUAAAAAGGUAAACCUAAUAGGGCUAAACUAUCUUUACAGACUACUAUAGAACCUUCCUAAUAGAGCCUAAAAAUAAGCCUCAAAAAAUUUGGGUGACCCACAAUAAGUUACCUGCCUACCAAACAAACAAAACCUAUCUAGAUCUUUAAAAGAGAAUAACAUACAGAUCUCCAACAAUAUAACAUUCAUAAUGUCAACCAUCUAAUCCAAAACUGCUAGACAUGUGAGAAAAAUCAGUCACUAGAAACAGACCCAAGUAUAAUGAAAGGAAUGUUUAUAUAUUUCGAGGAUUUAAAAGAAAUUUAACAUAAUUAGGAGGAAAAUGAAAGAUUUAAAAUAACCAAAUGAAACUUUUAGAGCUGAAAAAAAAAAUAAUCUGAAGUAAAAAAUAUUCUGGAUGGGAUUACUAGGAAAUUAGACAUUUCAAAAGAAAAGAUCAGUUAACUUAAAGACUUUAUAAUAGAAAUUAUCCAAACUGAAGUGUGGUGGGGAAAAAACUGGAAAAUAUAACUAAUAGAGUGUUGGUAGGCUCUGGAACAAUAUCAAGUGUUCUAACAUAUGUUGCUUCCCAUAUCAGGAAUAAAAGAUAGGACAUCACUACAGAUACUAUGGACAUGUAAAGAUAAGAGAUUUUAUGACCAAAUUUAUGCCAAUAAAUUUGACAACUUAGAUAAAAUAAAUGGAUUUCUUGAAGGAUACAAAUUACCCAAACUGGAAGAUUAAAAAUUCUGACUAGCUUCAUACCUAAGAAAAAAAAUUGAAUUCAUAAUAUAAACCCUCUCAAAAAUAACUUCUGGUCCAGGUUGGAAUCACUGGUGAAUUUAUCAAACAUUUAAGUAAUAAAUUAUACAAAUUUUUCUGCAACCCUUUCAGUGAGUAGAGGAGAAGGAAACAUUUCUCAACCCUAUAUAUCCCAGUAUUAAAACCAGAGAAAUAUAUUAAAAGAAAAGAAAAUUAGAGGUCAACAUCCUUCCUGAACACAGUUGCAUAAAUCUUUAAUAAAAUAUUAGCAAUACAAUUUAUGGUAUCAAGACCAGAUGGAAUUUAUCCCAUUAAUGCAAUAUUAACAUUAAAAAAAAUAGGGCUUCCCUGGUGGCGCAGUGGUUGAGGGUCCACCUGCCAAUGCAGGGGACGUGGGUUCGUGCCCCGGUCCGGGAAGAUCCCACAUGCCAUGGAGCAGCUGGGCUCGUGAGCCAUGGCCACUGAGCCUGCGCAUCCGGAGCCUGUGCUCCGCAACGGGAGAGGCCACAACAGUGAGAGGCCUGCGUACCACCAAAAAAAAAAAAAAAAAUCAUCAAUAAUUAAUGUAUUUUAUCACCUUAUCAGAAUAAAGGCAAAAUAUAAAUGAAUAAAUAAAAACAAACAAAAAUUAAUGUAAUUCUUUACAUUUAACAGACUGAACAGGAAACAACCAUCUCAAUGGAUAUAGGGGCAUUUGACAAAAUUUAACAUCCAUUUAAGAUAAUAUCUCUUGGUAAACUAGAUAAAGAAAGGAAUUACAUCAACCUCAUAAGGAGUGUCUAUAAAAAUCAAGAGACAACCCAUAUUUAAAGAUGAAACUCUAAUAUUAAGAAAAAUAAGAAUGCUGUCCCUCACAACUGCUAUUUAACAUUGCACUGGAUGCCCUUGAACAGUAAGACAAGAAAAAGAAAAAGCUUUCAGACUGGAAAGAAAGUAAUAUAACUCUCAUUAUUUAUAUAUAGCAUGAUCAUGUAUGUAGAAAAUCUGCAUAAGGGCUAUUGUAACUAAUUGUAACUAAUAGCUGAAUUUUGCAAGGUCACAGCAUAUAUGGUCAAUAAACAAAAGCCAGUUUUUCUGUAUCCUAUCAACAAAUAAAAAAUUAAAUGCAUACAAUAAUUCCAUGUACAAUAGAGUCAAAAACAUACAAUUCUCAAUGAUAAAUUAAGAAAGAAGUAUAAGAACUCUACACUGAAAACUAUAAAACACUGCUGAGAGGAGUUAAAGAAAUCCUAAAGAAGUGGCAAGCUGUAUCAUGGUUAGACAUUGGGAGAUUAUAUUAUUAAGGUACAGUUUCUCCAAAUUCAUCCUUAGAUUCAAUAUAAUUUCAGGGUUUUUUUGGUUUUUGUUUUUGUAGAAUCAACUGGAAGGACCUCAAAUAGCUUAAACAAUUUUUAAAGAGAAAAGGAACAUAUUUGGAGGAUUUACACUUCUAAUUUUAUGAUUUAUAAUAAAGUUACAGUAAUCAAAACAGUAUGGUAUUGGUGUAAGAUAAAGUAUAGCUCAAUGGAUCAGAGUAGAGAGUACCAAAAUAAAUUGAUACUUAUAUUGAUUUUAACAAAGUUGCCAAGGUAAUUUAAUGGAGAAAAGAAUAGGUCUUUUCAACAAAUUAAGCUGGAACAACUACUAAUUCACAUGAGAAAAAAUAUUUGGCCCUUACCUCAUGCCUUCACAAAACUAACUAGAAUAGACCACAGACCUCAAUGUGAAAGCUGAAACCAUAAAACUUUUAAAAAGAAACAUAGGAUAAAAUCUUUAUAAUUUUGGAGUAGGCACAGAUUUCUUGGGACACAAAAUGAUUACUAUAAAAUUAAAAAAAUGAUAAAUUGGUCAUCAUCACAAUGAAAAACUUUUCCUUUUAGAAAGACACUGUUAAGACAAGGAUAAUACAAAUCAUAGACCAGAAGAAAACAUUUAUAGUAGAUAUAGCUCAAAAAGGACUUAAAUUGAGACUAUAGAGAGAACUCUUACAACUCAAUAAUAAGAAAACAAACAACCAAAUUAAUAAAAUUUAUCAAAUGAGAUACUACUACAUAUAUAAUGUUAUUUAAAGAACUAUCCUUUGUAUGUAGAGUGACCAGACACAAUUUCCCUGAGAUCUUACAAGUUACUAUUUGUUGCUGUUUUUUUAAAUAUCCUGGUUUUAAUAAAUAAUAUGACAAUCCUAAUUAUAACAUUUUUAAAACUUUUUUAGAACAUGAUGGUCUAUUGUUUCUCUUUAAAAUAGUUCAGUAUAUACAGUAUGUAUAGAUGUAUAAGUUUUCUUUAAUCUGUACCCUAGCUGAGGAUCUGUAUAAGUUGUUAGCAUAUAAAGUACCCUAAUUCAGAAUCGACACAACAAGGUGCAUAGUUUGCUCUUGGCAAUCAGGAAUCCACAACACAGAGGAGUCUAGGGCAACUGUUUUAAAUAUGAAUGACUGAAUGAGAAGCCUUGUUAAUUAAAGGAUAUUAGAAAUAAUUGGUCAACUGAGAAGUAUUCAAGACAUGUCAUUGCCUGGGAAGAUUGUGUGGGUAUCUACAUCUUUGCAUGAAAAAAAUAUAAGAAUAGCAAGUUCAGCAACCUAGUACCUUUAGAGAAAACUGGUUUUGGCUCCUUCCACCGAAGAGAGGAUGAACAAGAAAAGGUCCACUGGUCCUGCCAGAAGCAUCAUGUUGCUUCCACCUUGGAGUAACCUUUGUUGCCAAGUGCUUAUUGGAAUUCUUGAAAAGCCAGAAAGCAGAGGGCUUUGCCCAUCUCCUGGAACUGGCCUUAUGAUUGUUUGGGGGGCUGUUUACUAAUAAAUGUUUGCAUUCAUAGCAAGUUUAUCCUUAGACUUUGGAUUUAUAACAUCAUAACAGGUGGUAAGGGUGUGGGCAAGGGGGCACAUGCUCCCUGCUUGCUUCCAAUUAUCACAGGCUACCAACAUUUAUCAAAGGACCUGCAACUGUGAAAGGUCAAAUUAGCUUCGGGUUUUCAACAUGAGAUUUUUUCAAAUUCUAUCAAAUUCUUGAAAAGGAAUAGAUAUGUGUAUAUGUAUAACUGAAUCACUUUGCUAUACACCUGAAACUAAUACAACAUUGUUAAUCAACUAUACUCCAAUACAAACUAAAAAUUUUUUUAAAAAUCUAAA
This is a long non-coding RNA of Globicephala melas (long-finned pilot whale), 7562 nucleotides long. RefSeq lists it as uncharacterized. The record is from RefSeq and is a predicted model, not a curated record. NCBI's taxonomy places the organism in Eukaryota, Metazoa, Chordata, Mammalia, Artiodactyla, Delphinidae.